Molecule: long non-coding RNA, 482 nt
Organism: Ailuropoda melanoleuca (giant panda)
Lineage: Eukaryota; Metazoa; Chordata; Mammalia; Carnivora; Ursidae
Exons: 3
Source: RefSeq, a predicted model, not a curated record
CACAGACGGCGGGUGCUCCUGGAAUGUGAUCGUCCUGGGACCAAGGAGAACAGAACUCUAACGAUGACCUUUGAGCUGAGAGGGGGAGAAGGAGGCCCUUCCCGACGGAAUGCCCGCUGCCAGGGAGACUGGCCUGGCCGAGGAGCACAGUGAUUACAUUAUUCCAGCCUGGGGAGAAGAAAGUCAAUUCAAAAACUGCUCGUUCAUGUCAUGUGACAAGACAAUGUGGCUCCGGGAAGGCUCCCCUGGCACCGAGCCCUGAGCUGGCAACUCAAGCGGCCCCUGAAAAAUGAGACUCUGGGUGACAGCAAAGGACCUAAUGGGAAAGAUCUUUCUAUAUUUGUGGAGAAAAAUGCAAGCUCCUGUUUUAAAGAAAGCUUUUGGUCCAAGGCUCUAGCUGGGAGAAGUGCAAAAGUGAAGAGGAAGCCCCCCCUCAGGGACCAGGGCUUCCCUGACCCUUCCCCCCUCACCUCUGCCCACCG